AAAGUCGUAACAAGGUUUCCGUAGGUGAACCUGCGGAAGGAUCAUUACACUUGGGGGCUCCGAAAGGGCCCUCUGCUGCCGCAAGGUGGCAACCACACCCUCUGUCUACCUCUACCUCUUGUUGUUUCCUCGGCAGGCAGCUUACGCCAGCCGCUAGGAAUACCUUAAACCCUUGUAUUCGAAGCAUCCAAAACUCUGAUAACAAAACAAAUAAAUCACAACUUUCAACAAUGGAUCUCUUGGUUCUG
RNAcentral lists this unclassified non-coding RNA (248 nucleotides) under Ascomycota sp. RNAcentral describes it as "partial contains small subunit ribosomal RNA, internal transcribed spacer 1, and 5.8S ribosomal RNA". The stretch from base 1 to 47 matches the Rfam family "Eukaryotic small subunit ribosomal RNA", at positions 1785 to 1831 of the family's 1831-position model. The record is from RNAcentral. Lineage: Eukaryota; Fungi; Ascomycota.